UAAAAUCUAAAAUUGAUGGUCUUUCAUAUAAGAAUUAAAAUGUAAAAUUUGUUAAACUACAAGGACUACUAAGAAAUUUAACCAAAUAAUGAUUUAUGUAGAAUUUUCCUUGUCUUUUUACUGGUAGAAAUUUGCAGAAAUUAAGGGUUUUAGACAUUUACAUAUGUGGAAAUGAAGGUAAAAUGGGGGAGACAAGAGCAGCUUGUUAGGUUGCAAAAUAAGCCCCUUUUAGUCUUUUCUUCCAAAAGAAAGGCAACAAAAGGGCAGAUCAUACAUGUAUAGUGAUAUCUUGGUGGUUAUAUUCAGGAUCUUAGGAACAGUUGUUUUUUAAGGCAUUC
RNAcentral lists this long non-coding RNA (338 nucleotides) under Phaseolus vulgaris (common bean). Its description in RNAcentral is "long non-coding RNA (PVUL_LNC003978)". The record is from RNAcentral. Lineage: Eukaryota; Viridiplantae; Streptophyta; Magnoliopsida; Fabales; Fabaceae.